RNAcentral lists this ribosomal RNA (329 nucleotides) under Demospongiae sp. GW3040. RNAcentral describes it as "partial 28S large subunit ribosomal RNA". Lineage: Eukaryota; Metazoa; Porifera; Demospongiae. The record is from RNAcentral.
GCUCAGGGUGUCGAGGUUGUCGUGCUUCGUUGCUGUGUUCAUCCGGUGGUCGGGCAACUUGCCACUGGUGUAAUCUCAGCCGGAGUUGGACCGUCAGUCGGGAAGAGUCUGAGGCCUGUUUAUCGGUGUUAGGGAGGUAGGCCUCGAGGUUGCCUUCGGGCUCCCGGGGUCACGUAUAGCCUUUCGCCGUGGUUUCAGUCGUCUUUCAGGUGUGUUGGAUGGCCGUUCGUCCAUGAUUGGUAGGUGCAGUCUCCCCUAGUGGGAGGUCGGGCCUUCGCUGCGGUUGCUCAACAUCUGGGAGUGUGUGUUCCGUUCUCUCGCCGUAGACU